Molecule: ribosomal RNA, 1555 nt
Filed under: candidate division Zixibacteria bacterium RBG_16_43_9
Lineage: Bacteria; Pseudomonadati; Candidatus Zixiibacteriota
Description: bacterial SSU rRNA
Rfam family: Bacterial small subunit ribosomal RNA
Source: RNAcentral
AUUAAUGGAGAGUUUGAUCCUGGCUCAGAACGAACGCUGGCGGCGUGCCUCAUACAUGCAAGUCGUGCGUUAAACCUCUGUAGCAAUACGGAGGCGUAAAGCGGCGAACGGGUGAGUAACACGUGGGCAAUUUGCCUCGAAGCUGGGGAUAAGCCCUCGAAAGGGGGUCUAAUACCGAAUAACAUCCUGGGACGGCAUCGUUCCGGGAUCAAAGGUUCGCAAGAACCGCUUUGAGAUGAGCCCGCGGUCCAUUAGCUUGUUGGUGAGAUAAAAGCCCACCAAGGCUAUGAUGGAUAGCCGACCUGAGAGGGUGUUCGGCCACACUGGGACUGAGAUACGGCCCAGACUCCUACGGGAGGCAGCAGUAGGGAAUAUUGCGCAAUGGGCAAAUGCCUGACGCAGCGACGCCGCGUGGAGGAUGAAGUUUUUCGGAAUGUAAACUCCUGUCAGUGGGGAAGAAUAUUUCGCCUUUGGCGGAACUGACGGUACCCACAGAGGAAGCUCCGGCUAACUCCGUGCCAGCAGCCGCGGUAAUACGGGGGGAGCAAGCGUUGUUCGGAAUCACUGGGCGUAAAGAGCGUGUAGGCGGGCAGAUAAGUCAGACGUGAAAUUUCUCCGCUUAACGGAGAAACCGCGUUUGAAACUAUCUGUCUUGAGUACGGGAGAGGAAAGUGGAAUUCCUGGUGUAGCGGUGAAAUGCGUAGAUAUCAGGAGGAACACCUGUGGCGAAGGCGGCUUUCUAGCCCGAUACUGACGCUGUGGCGCGAAGGCUAGGGUAGCAAACAGAAUUAGAUACUCUGGUAGUCCUAGCGGUAAACGUUGGGCACUAGGUGUUGGUUCCUUAAAGGAUCAGUGCCGAAGCUAACGCAUUAAGUGCCCCGCCUGGGGAGUACGGCCGCAAGGUUGAAACUCAAAGGAAUUGACGGGGGCCCGCACAAGCGGUGGAGUAUGUGGUUUAAUUCGACGCAACGCGAAGAACCUUACCUGGGUUUGACAUCCUGAUGCAAGCCCAAGAGAUUGGGUCCCCCCGCAAGGGGCGUCAGGACAGGUGCUGCAUGGCUGUCGUCAGCUCGUGCCGUGAGGUGUUGGGUUAAGUCCCGCAACGAGCGCAACCCUUGCCCUUAGUUGCCACUCCCCGAGCAAUCGGGGGAGCACUCUAGGGGGACUGCCAGUGAUAAGCUGGAGGAAGGCGAGGAUGACGUCAAGUCCUCAUGGCCCUUAUGUCCAGGGCUACACACGUACUACAAUGGCCGGUACAGAAGGUCGCAAGGCCGCAAGGCAGAGCUAAUCCCCAAAACCGGCCUCAGUUCAGAUUGGAGUCUGCAACUCGACUCCAUGAAGGUGGAAUCGCUAGUAAUCGCGAAUCAGCAGGUCGCGGUGAAUACGUUCCCGGGCCUUGUACACACCGCCCGUCAAGCCAUGGAAGUCAGGGGUACCAGAAGUCGCUGAUCCAACUCGCAAGAGAGGUAGGCGCCGAAGGUAAACCUGAUGACUGGGGCUAAGUCGUAACAAGGUAGCCGUAGCGGAAGCUGUGGCUGGAUCACCUCCUUUCUAA